This 22-nucleotide microRNA is filed under the name Pristionchus pacificus. Its description in RNAcentral is "ppc-miR-8299-3p". Lineage: Eukaryota; Metazoa; Nematoda; Chromadorea; Rhabditida; Neodiplogasteridae. The record is from miRBase by way of RNAcentral.
UGCACAUAAUUAAAGCACUACC